UGCCACUGCACUCCAGCCUGGGCAAGUAGAACAAAACUCCGUCUCAAAAAAAAAAAAAGAAAUGAUUUCCUUAACUUCAAUAAGACAGUUAUGAUGGUGGGACCUCGGCAGAAGUAUAUUGUCAUUGCUGGCUACCUUCAUGGCUUCUUUUCUUGUCAGGGUAGUAACAUUUUGUAGUCAAAUUUGCACAGAUUUGUAGCCAAGUCUACAAAGUGCUAAACAGCUCUUCUCAUUGCAUCCUGUGAGAUGGUUGUGAUGAUCCAGGAAAUGGGGUCUCAGGAGUCUGAAGAAGCCGCCUGAGCCAAGGUGUUUUUUUGUGGUAUUGAGUUGGGGUGUGGGUGUGAGUGUGUAGAUGGGGUCUCACUGUGUUACUCAGGCUGGUCCCAAACUCCUGGCCUCAAAGGAUCCUCCUGCCUCAGCCUCCCAAAGUGCUGGGAUUGCAGGUGUGAACCAUCACACCUUUGAUAUUUUAUAAUAAAAAUGUUUUUAAAAAUUUACAAGGCUCAUAUUUGACCCAGUAUGAGCUUUUUGAUUUUAUCCUGUACCUAUGUAUGAAUUUCUUUCUUGUAGGCUUGUGCAUGGGUAUCUUGAAUGGCUACUAAUUGCUGCUCUGCUUAUAAAAACAAAUGGCUAUCAAGGCUGGGUGCAGUGGGUCUGGAUCUCGAGUCCAGCCAGUCCAGAGUUUAAGAUCAACCUAUGCAGCAUGAUGAAACCCCAUCUGUACAAAAGAUCAGCAAGGCAUGGUGGCGUGCACUUGUUAUCUCAGCUACUCAGGGGUCUGAGGAGGAGGAUGGCGUGAGCCCAGGAGCUUGAGGCUACAGUGAGCUGUGAUCAUGCCACCGCACUCCAGCCUGAGUGACAGAGACCCCGGUAUCAAAAGUAGAAAGGCCAUCAGUACAAACUGUUUAAAUUAUUGUACAGCCAUACAAUGGAAUACUCUACAAAAUGGAGAGGUCCAUCCAAGAGAUAGAUAGCAAAUGAAUAAGGCAAAAUGCAUGUGUUGACAGCUGCUGUGAUACCUCAGUUCUUGUCUCUUGGUUUAAAAGAAUUUAAACAAGACACAACCAAGGAGAUAUAGCAUAAGUUACUGCAAAAUAAAAGGGUCAAUUUGAAAGGU
Long non-coding RNA from Sapajus apella (tufted capuchin), 1117 nucleotides. RefSeq lists it as uncharacterized. The record is from RefSeq and is a predicted model, not a curated record. The transcript is spliced from 3 exons. Lineage: Eukaryota; Metazoa; Chordata; Mammalia; Primates; Cebidae.